UGGGGAAUUUUGCACAAUGGGGGAAACCCUGAUGCAGCGACGCCGCGUGAUUUAGAAGGCCUUCGGGUUGUAAAAAUCUUUUCUAUGGGAAGAAAAUGACAGUACCAUAGGAAUAAGGACCGGCUACUUACGUGCCAGCAGCCGCGGUAAUACGUAAGGUCCGAGCGUUGUCCGGAAUCAUUGGGCGUAAAGGGUACAUAGGCGGGUAAGCAAGUUAGAAGUGAAAUCCUAUAGCUCAACUAUAGUAAGCUUUUAAAACUGCUCAUCUUGGGGGAUGGAAGGGAAAGUGGAAUUCCUAGUGUAGCGGUGAAAUGCGCGGAUAUUAGGAGGAAUGCCGGUGGCGAAGGCGACUUUCUGGCGAUAACCUGACGCUGAGGUACGAAAGCGUGGGUAGCAAACAGG
Molecule: ribosomal RNA, 402 nt
Filed under: bacterium
Lineage: Bacteria
Description: partial 16S ribosomal RNA
Rfam family: Bacterial small subunit ribosomal RNA
Source: RNAcentral